CAACAACCUGUUGCCAUGUAUUGCGAUUUGUAUCAGUCACAAGCACACAACCCCUUCUAGUAUUAAUGAUGUUUAAAACGUUCUACACGUACGGCGGACCGCAUCCGUCGCAAGCACGCGCAUAUAACCCCCAAAUGCACCAUGAUGAGAAGCACAGCCACGCGUCAAAAAACUUUAAAAACAUCGUUAUCCAAUAUUAAAAACCACACCGAAAUUUACACAGGUGGCACGUUACCGUGUUAGUGUCACCCACUGUACACAAGGCGUGUCGUAUAUGUAGUAUAGGUAUUUGAUGAGGCGGAAGCAUAUCCCGCUUCCAGCGAACGGAAAUAAGGACCAUCCGUUCCAGCAUUUAUUCAAAGGGGGCACAGAGGGUUCACAUUGUUUAGAGAGAGUUUUUCUUAGUAACCAUUCCAUACUUUGGCAGUAUUGGCCUACGAUUUGGGCGACGUUUCAGGCUGGUCUAUUCUCCGUCCACUUUUCCCCGGCUAUUCUAUCCCAGCAUAGGCUCUUGAAAUAAACAAUGUUUACCGAGUAAAA
This 540-nucleotide unclassified non-coding RNA is filed under the name Human gammaherpesvirus 8. Its description in RNAcentral is "partial T1.4". The record is from RNAcentral. Lineage: Duplodnaviria; Heunggongvirae; Peploviricota; Herviviricetes; Herpesvirales; Orthoherpesviridae.